RNAcentral lists this ribosomal RNA (291 nucleotides) under uncultured bacterium. Its description in RNAcentral is "partial 16S ribosomal RNA". It matches the Rfam family "Archaeal small subunit ribosomal RNA", at positions 455 to 747 of the family's 1478-position model. The record is from RNAcentral.
GUGCCAGCCGCCGCGGUAAUACCGGCAGCUCGAGUGAUGGCCGAUUUUAUUGGGCCUAAAGCGUCCGUAGCUGGCCGCACAAGUCCGUCGGGAAAUCCGCCCGCUCAACGGGUGGGCGUCCGGUAGAAACUGGCCGGCUUGGAACCGGAAGGCUCAGAGAGUACGUCCGGGGUAGGAGUGAAAUCCCGUAAUCCCGGACGGACUACCGAUGGCGAAAGCACUUCGAGAAAACGGAUCCGACAGUGAGGGACGAAAGCCAGGGUCUCCAACCGGAUUAGAAACCCUGGGUCC